RNAcentral lists this ribosomal RNA (254 nucleotides) under uncultured bacterium. RNAcentral's name for it is "partial 16S ribosomal RNA". It matches the Rfam family "Bacterial small subunit ribosomal RNA", at positions 524 to 776 of the family's 1533-position model. The record is from RNAcentral.
UACGGGGGGGGGCAAGCGUUUGUUCGGAAUUACUGGGCGUAAAGGGUUCGUAGGUGGCCAACUAAGUCAGACGUGAAAUCCCUCAGCUUAACUGGGGAACUGCGUCUGAUACUGGAUGGCUUGAGUUUGGGAGAGGGAUGCGGAAUUCCAGGUGUAGCGGUGAAAUGCGUAGAUAUCGAGAGGAACACCUGCGGCGAAGGCGGGUGCUGGGCUGAUACUGACGCUGAGGCGCGAAAGCUAGGAGAGCGAACGGG